UCUCUGGUAGUAUAUCGGAUAGUACACCCGCCUGUCACAUCUACUGUGCGCGGGAGAGCGGGGUUCGACCCCCCGCCAGAGAG
This is a non-coding RNA of Suillus spraguei, 83 nucleotides long. The record is from the annotation of a GenBank genome assembly. NCBI's taxonomy places the organism in Eukaryota, Fungi, Basidiomycota, Agaricomycetes, Boletales, Suillaceae.